This 258-nucleotide ribosomal RNA is filed under the name uncultured soil bacterium. Its description in RNAcentral is "partial 16S ribosomal RNA". It matches the Rfam family "Bacterial small subunit ribosomal RNA", at positions 26 to 287 of the family's 1533-position model. The record is from RNAcentral.
AGGACGAACGCUGGCGGCGUGCUUAACACAUGCAAGUCGAACGGUAAGGCCCCUUCGGGGGUACGCGAGUGGCGAACGGGUGAGUAACACGUGGGUAAUCUGCCCUGCACUUCGGGAUAAGCCUGGGAAACUGGGUCUAAUACCGGAUAUGAGCUCCUGCCGCAUGGUGGGGGUUGGAAAGUUUUUCGGUGCAGGAUGAGUCCGCGGCCUAUCAGCUUGUUGGUGGGGUAAUGGCCCACCAAGGCUACGAUCAGUAGC